RNAcentral lists this long non-coding RNA (3220 nucleotides) under Sus scrofa (pig). RNAcentral describes it as "lncRNA (ENSSSCG00000057202.1)". Lineage: Eukaryota; Metazoa; Chordata; Mammalia; Artiodactyla; Suidae. The record is from RNAcentral.
AACUGGUAUGUAUCCUCUUACUUCCUCAGAUAGUGGUGCUAGCUGAGGCUCUGUGAGCAGGAAAGGCAGACCCUGACCUAGACUAGUUAUGGAUUCCUUGAGGAUGAACCAAGGCUCCAAUGUAGUCAGUGUUAACGAGCAAGCUGACAGCUGGUUUCCUUGAGUAAUAAAUACUGCUUUAUUGAGGGCUCAGAAUCGGUCUCUGUUGCCAACAGACUGGACAUUCAGAGACAGCAGUUGGAAAAUCAGUUUCCAUAUGUGGUAGGUGAUACUGUUGGGUCCCUAUAUAUAGUGUCCAUAUCUGCCACCAUGGCUACUUCAUUUAUGUACCCAUUGUGACAAUUAUGGUAUGACUGAAGACAAAGACUGGCUAACAACAAGCAGCUAGUCAUUUUGUCUAUUUAUUGAGUACUUCUUUCAUGGUAGAUGCUUUUUUUGAGCAUUAUGUACAAUACACUUCAUGUUCCCUCCCACAUAUUUGCUCACAUUCCUCUUUCCCAUACCUCCUUAUCUCUAAUCUUCCAAUACUUUUCUUUCUAGAUCUCUGAUAAGAUUGCCAGGCCAUUGGCUACUUCCCAGAAACUUGUAAAUAUUCUCAAUUUCUAUAUAAAGUAGAUGCCAGGUAUACUGCUCAUAGCCUCUGCUCACUGGGAAGAUUUUCCCUCUCCGCUGUAUUUCAGGGCCACCCCCAAUAUGGCUGAAUGCAGUCUAUGUUUGGCUCACUGUCAUGUAUCAAUCAAGCUAAUUUCAACCAAGCUCAGACUUUUUCCGUCUCUUUUAGUUUUUAAACCAGAUUCCUCCAUAAUGUUAUGGGGCUGGUGAAGGUGUAUGAUGCAACUAUGGUGGGUAACAAAGAGUCUGGGCUAUGUAAUCAUGGCCUUGUUCCAUACCUCAGAGUCCCCCAUUGUGAAACUCCCAUUGAGGUUUGUCACAAACACCAUUUUGCGUAUUUUCUCACCACUGUCACCUCCAACAUCAUGGGGUUUGCCAGACCAUAUGGCUUAAGAAGCAAGGCUGCUUGCAUCACAGCCUUGACUUGAAUCAGGACACUUUUCUGCUCUAGGCUCCACUUAAAGUUGACCUUUCAUGUCACCAGGGCAAUAUUUCUAGGUGUUGAAUGUGUUGCCUAUAGAACACAAAGAAGCCUACUGGAUAUUAUGCUUUCCUCUUUAUGGUAGAGUAUGAAAGAUUCAUCAGGCUGUUUUUUAUUUUGGGAAGAAUCUCCCAGUAUAUCCCUGACCACUGGAUCCUCCCAAAUUUCACUAAAGUGUCAUGUCCUGAAUCUUCAGACAGUUUAUCUCUCACCUUCUGGAGCACAUGUCUUACUAAGGUCUUUAAUGUGCUAGCCAAUUCUUCCUUUCUUGUCCUAUCAUUAUGAUGUCAUUGAUGUAACAAAUCAGUAUGAUGUUCUGCAGGAUGUGCAGGUGAUUCAGAUUUUUUUCAAGCAAAAUUAUGACAGAGGGUAAGAGUACUAACAUAAUCCUGAGACAAAAUUGAAAAUUAAUGUCAUUGUCUAUUCCAUAUAAAUACAUUUCUGAUCUUCUUUUCUAAGUAGAAUGAAAAAGAACACAUUUUCCAAUCAAUGGCUGCAUACCACAUACUUAAAGUCUUAUUAAUCUGCCUAGAACAGAUUCAGGUUUGGCGUAGCAACUAUAAUCGUGUUUACUACUUGAUUAAGUUUGUAACAGACCACAGUCAUUCUCUAGGACCCAUCUCCUUUCUGCAGGGGCCACAUGGGUGAAUUAAACAGAAAUAGAGGGCUCACCACUUUUGCAUCAUUUAGAUCUCUAAUGGUAGGUAGCAACAACUUUCACCACAUUUACAGGAUAUAAUAUUGUAUUUUAUUUACUGUCUUGGUUGGGGGCUGGGGGCACUUUCAGAGGUUUCCACUCAGCCUUUUCCACUACUAUUGCUUUUACCCAUAGCCCAAGGACCUAACACGGGCUUUAGUCCAACUUCCAAGAAAGUAUUCUCAGGAACUGGCUAAAUGACCACCUGAACUCAGGAUCCUGAUCUCAGGAUCUGGCAGGCCAACUAUAAGCCAAACUCUAGCUGACUUAUGUAUUACCUGAUCCCUAUGCUCCCACACUCAUAGGGGGCCAUGCUGAUACUUCGGGUCUCUAUAUGUUUUUGUAUAGCUGUUUUAAAAAUGCUUGGUUGUUUGUAGGCAUCGUUCCCUCCCUCCACCUCCCACUGCUAUAAAUUUCAUAUGUCUGCACAAUUGUACUUGCCAUAGCACUCCUCUUCACCAGGAUAUUUUCCUAGGUCAGCAAGAGUGAAGUCUUUAGCAAUCUUAAACCGCUACAGCCUUGUGCCAGGGACAACUCAUGUCCCACCUGCCAACCAGGGUCACAUCUCUUCAUCCCCCAAGUAAACCAACCCCAAUCUCCCAUUUUCUCACCUGUUUUCUCAAUCUGUUCUCAGUACCACUUGCAUUAAUCUGGGUCAUCCAAGAGUCAGAUUCCACAAUGAAAUUAGAAGAGCAAGAGAUUUAUUAGGGGCAAUAUCUGUGAGGUAAAAAUAAGGCAGGAAAGAGGUAGGGAAAGAAGGUCAGGAGAAUCAUCAGACUGCAACACAAUCUGACCCUGGGUCCAUAAGAGAGAGAAGAAAAAGAAAAGUUGGAGAAAGUAUUUUAUGCUUCACUUUAGUUCUAGGGUAGUUUGGCAAGGUCAUUGGGAAAUCCUAGAGUCAAAGUUGUUUAUCCGAAGGUCCUGUGCCUCUCAGGAAGAGCUUGGGCUUGCCUCAGUAUUCCCACCUUGUUCUGUUAUUGGCUGGAAGUAGCCCAUAGAAAGCAUGAUUUUGCUGUACAGUAGAAAUUGACAUAACACUGUCAAUCAACUAUAAUGGAAAGAAAUAAAAAUCUUAAAAAAAGAAAACAUGAUUAUGGCUUAGAUGCAAUGAUGGAUGUUAGAGACUGCCCACAGUCAGGAAUCUGGGAGACACACUUUCAUGGCCACCAUAGAGUAGAACAAUUGGAGGAUAGUGAGGAAGAAUGAUAAUUUCUCUGUAUAGGAAAAAGAUAAUAUAAUAAAUGCAGGAGUUCCCAUAGUGGCUCAGCAGAAACGAAUCUGACUAGCAUCCAUGAGGACACAGUUUCAAUCCCUUGCUCUGUGGGUUAAAGAUCUGGCAUGCCAUGAGCUGUAGUGUGGGUUGGUUGCUAUAGCUCUGAUUUGACCCCUAGUCUGGGAACCUCCAUAUGCCAUGGGGUGGCCCUAAAAAG